UUAAGUUAUUAAGGGCGCACGGUGGAUGCCUUGGCACUAGAAGCCGAUGAAGGACGUUACUAACGACGAUAUGCUUUGGGUAGCUGUAAGUAAGCGUUGAUCCAGAGAUUUCCGAAUGGGGGAACCCAACAUGAGUUAUGUCAUGUUAUCGACAUGUGAAUUCAUAGCAUGUCAGAAGGCAGACCCGGAGAACUGAAACAUCUUAGUACCCGGAGGAAGAGAAAGAAAAAUCGAUUCCCUGAGUAGCGGCGAGCGAAACGGGAAGAGCCCAAACCAACAAGCUUGCUUGUUGGGGUUGUAGGACACUCUAUACGGAGUUACAAAAGAACAUGUUAGACGAAUCAUCUGGAAAGAUGAAUCAAAGAAGGUAAUAAUCCUGUAGUCGAAAACAUAUUCUCUCUUGAGUGGAUCCUGAGUACGACGGAGCACGUGAAAUUCCGUCGGAAUCUGGGAGGACCAUCUCCUAAGGCUAAAUACUCUCUAGUGACCGAUAGUGAACCAGUACCGUGAGGGAAAGGUGAAAAGUACCCCGGAAGGGGAGUGAAAGAGAACUUGAAACCGUGUGCUUACAAGUAGUCAGAGCCCGUUAAUGGGUGAUGGCGUGCCUUUUGUAGAAUGAACCGGCGAGUUACGAUCUGAUGCAAGGUUAAGCAGCAAAUGUGGAGCCGCAGCGAAAGCGAGUCUGAAUAGGGCGUUGAGUAUUUGGUCGUAGACCCGAAACCAGGUGAUCUACCCUUGGUCAGGUUGAAGUUCAGGUAACACUGAAUGGAGGACCGAACCGACUUACGUUGAAAAGUGAGCGGAUGAACUGAGGGUAGCGGAGAAAUUCCAAUCGAACUUGGAGAUAGCUGGUUCUCUCCGAAAUAGCUUUAGGGCUAGCCUCAAGUGAUGAUUAUUGGAGGUAGAGCACUGUUUGGACGAGGGGCCCCUCUCGGGUUACCGAAUUCAGACAAACUCCGAAUGCCAAUUAAUUUAACUUGGGAGUCAGAACAUGGGUGAUAAGGUCCGUGUUCGAAAGGGAAACAGCCCAGACCACCAGCUAAGGUCCCAAAAUAUAUGUUAAGUGGAAAAGGAUGUGGCGUUGCCCAGACAACUAGGAUGUUGGCUUAGAAGCAGCCAUCAUUUAAAGAGUGCGUAAUAGCUCACUAGUCGAGUGACACUGCGCCGAAAAUGUACCGGGGCUAAACAUAUUACCGAAGCUGUGGAUUGUCCUUUGGACAAUGGUAGGAGAGCGUUCUAAGGGCGUCGAAGCAUGAUCGCAAGGACAUGUGGAGCGCUUAGAAGUGAGAAUGCCGGUGUGAGUAGCGAAAGACGGGUGAGAAUCCCGUCCACCGAUUGACUAAGGUUUCCAGAGGAAGGCUCGUCCGCUCUGGGUUAGUCGGGUCCUAAGCUGAGGCCGACAGGCGUAGGCGAUGGAUAACAGGUUGAUAUUCCUGUACCACCUAGUAUCGUUUUAAUCGAUGGGGGGACGCAGUAGGAUAGGCGAAGCGUGCUGUUGGAGUGCACGUCCAAGCAGUAAGGCUGAGUGUUAGGCAAAUCCGGCACUCAUAAGGCUGAGCUGUGAUGGGGAGAGGAAAUUGUUUCCUCGAGUCGUUGAUUUCACACUGCCGAGAAAAGCCUCUAGAUAGAUAACAGGUGCCCGUACCGCAAACCGACACAGGUAGUCAAGAUGAGAAUUCUAAGGUGAGCGAGCGAACUCUCGUUAAGGAACUCGGCAAAAUGACCCCGUAACUUCGGGAGAAGGGGUGCUCUUUAGGGUUCACGCCCAGAAGAGCCGCAGUGAAUAGGCCCAAGCGACUGUUUAUCAAAAACACAGGUCUCUGCUAAACCGUAAGGUGAUGUAUAGGGGCUGACGCCUGCCCGGUGCUGGAAGGUUAAGAGGAGUGGUUAGCUUCUGCGAAGCUACGAAUCGAAGCCCCAGUAAACGGCGGCCGUAACUAUAACGGUCCUAAGGUAGCGAAAUUCCUUGUCGGGUAAGUUCCGACCCGCACGAAAGG
This 1997-nucleotide ribosomal RNA is filed under the name Streptococcus pneumoniae. RNAcentral's name for it is "bacterial LSU rRNA". It matches the Rfam family "Bacterial large subunit ribosomal RNA", at positions 3 to 1999 of the family's 2925-position model. Lineage: Bacteria; Bacillati; Bacillota; Bacilli; Lactobacillales; Streptococcaceae. The record is from RNAcentral.